This 888-nucleotide ribosomal RNA is filed under the name Monochaetia ilexae. RNAcentral's name for it is "eukaryotic LSU rRNA". It matches the Rfam family "Eukaryotic large subunit ribosomal RNA", at positions 34 to 948 of the family's 3401-position model. Lineage: Eukaryota; Fungi; Ascomycota; Sordariomycetes; Amphisphaeriales; Sporocadaceae. The record is from RNAcentral.
GUGAUAGCAUAUCAAUAAGCGGAGGAAAAGAAACCACAGGGAUUGCCCUAGUAACGGCGAGUGAAGCGGCAACAGCUCAAAUUUGAAAUCUGGCCCUUGGGUCCGAAUUGUAAUUUGUAGAGGAUGAUUUUGGUGCGGUACCUUCCGAGUUCCUUGGAACAGGACGCCUUAGAGGGUGAGAGCCCCGUACGGUUGGAUACCUAGCCUCUGUAAAUCUCCUUCGACGAGUCGAGUAGUUUGGGAAUGCUGCUCUAAAUGGGAGGUAAAUUUCUUCUAAAGCUAAAUACUGGCCAGAGACCGAUAGCGCACAAGUAGAGUGAUCGAAAGAUGAAAAGCACUUUGAAAAGAGGGUUAAAUAGCACGUGAAAUUGUUGAAAGGGAAGGAUUUAUGACCAGACUUUUUCUGGGCAGAUCAUCCGGUGUUCUCACCGGUGCACUUUGCCCAGUUUAGGCCAGCAUCGAUUUCCGGAGGGGGAUAAAAGCUUUAGGAAUGUGGCUCCCUCGGGAGUGUUAUAGCCUAUUGUAUAAUACCUUUCUGGGGAUCGAGGUACGCGCUUCUGCAAGGAUGCUGGCGUAAUGGUUAUCAAUCACCCGUCUUGAAACACGGACCAAGGAGUCGAACAUUUGUGCGAGUGUUUGGGUGUUAAACCCUCACGCGUAAUGAAAGUGAACGGAGGUAAGAGCCCUUACGGGUGCAUUAUCGACCGAUCCUGAAGUUUUCGGAUGGAUUUGAGUAGGAGCAUAAAUGUUCGGACCCGAAAGAUGGUGAACUAUGCGUGGAUAGGGUGAAGCCAGAGGAAACUCUGGUGGAGGCUCGCAGCGGUUCUGACGUGCAAAUCGAUCGUCAAAUCUGCGCAUGGGGGCGAAAGACUAAUCGAACCAUCUAGU